GCUUGGACAGUCUGGAUGUUUUGGCACCCUCCUGCCAGAAGAAUCACCCAGGGAGCACGGAGAUAAUAAUGAAAGUCCUGUGAUCUGGUAGCCACCGAGUAACUACCCAGAACACCCUAGGCCAGAGAUGUAGCAACCACAUGGAAACCUGCAAAAAAUCAUCCAUAAACACCUUUGCAACCACACAGCAACAUCCUGGCAACCCAGAGCAUCAUGGUGUGAAGCAUGGAGGAAGCUGGUAUUGGUGAGCUGCUUCACUGUGAAAAGUCAUUUAAUGCUUUGGAGUACAGAAGAAUAUUGCAGAAUGGCUUGCUUCCCACAAUGAUGUUAUUUUUCAACAAAGACAAUGUUGCUGCC
This is a long non-coding RNA of Megalobrama amblycephala (Wuchang bream), 357 nucleotides long. RefSeq lists it as uncharacterized. The record is from RefSeq and is a predicted model, not a curated record. NCBI's taxonomy places the organism in Eukaryota, Metazoa, Chordata, Actinopteri, Cypriniformes, Xenocyprididae. The transcript is spliced from 3 exons.